Molecule: non-coding RNA, 30 nt
Filed under: Rattus norvegicus (Norway rat)
Lineage: Eukaryota; Metazoa; Chordata; Mammalia; Rodentia; Muridae
Source: RNAcentral
UGUAAGUAGCCAAGGAAAAAUUGUUGAUUU